AUUGAUUUGAGUCCUCUCUCUUUUUUGCUUGAUGAGUCUGCCUAGGGGGUUAUCAAUUUUGUUGAUCUUUUCAAAGAACCAGCUUUUCGUUUCACUGAUCUUUUCUAUGGUUUUCUUUGUUUCUAUUUCAACGGUUUCUGCUCUGAUCUUUAUGAUUUCUUUCCUUCUACUAACUUUAGGUUUUGUCUGUUCUUCUCUCUCAAGCUGCUUUAGAUGUAAAGUUAGCUUGUUUAUUUGGGCUUUUUCUUGUUUCCUGAGGUGGGCUUGUGUUGCUAUAAACUUUCCUCUUAGAACAGCUUUUGCUGCAUCCCAUAGGUUUUGGAGUGUUGUAUCUUUGUUGUCAUCUACUUCUAGGUAUUUUUUAAUUUCCGCUUUGAUUUCUUUAGUGAUCCAUUGGUUGUUUAGUAGCAUGUUGUUGAGUUUCCACGUGUUUGUGUUUUUUUGCAGUUUUUUUCUUGUUGUUGAUUUCCAGUCGUAUAGCGUUGUGGUCAGAAUAGAUGCUUGGUAUGAUUUCAGUUUUCUUAAAGUUACUGAGGUUGGAUCUGUAGCCCAGGAUAUGGUCAAUCUUAGAGAAUGUUCCAUGUGCACUUGAGAAGAAUGUGUACUCUGUUGUUUUUGGAUGAAAUGUCCUAUAAAUAUCUAUUAAGUCCAUCUGGUUUAAUGCUUCAUUCAGGGCCUGUGUUUCCUUAUUGAUUUUCUGUCUGGUUGAUCUGUCCAUUGCUGUAAGUGGGGUGUUAAAGUCCCCCACUAUGAUUGUGUUAUUGUCGAUUUCUCCUUUUAAGGUUGUUAGCAGUAGCCUUAUAUAUUGUGGUGAACCUGUGUUUGCGUAUAUAGAUAUUUAAAAUUGUUAUAUCAUCUUCUUGGAUUGAUCCUUUGAUCAUUAUGUAAUGUCCUUCUUUGUCCCUGAAAAUAUCCUUCAUUUUAAGGUCUAUUUUGUCUGAUAUGAGUAUUGCUACUCCAGCUUUCUUUUGAUCCCCGUUUGCAUGAAAUAUUUUCUUCCAUCCUCUCACUUUCAAUUUGUAUGUGUCCCUAGGAGUGAAGUGGGUCUCUUGAAGACAGCGUAUAUAUGGGUCUUGUUUUUGUAUCCAUUCAGCCAGUCUAUGUCUUUUGGCUGGGGCAUUUAGUCCAUUCACAUUUAAGGUAAUUAUUGAUAUGAAUGUUCUUAUUGACAUUUUAUUAGUAAGUUUGGAUUUGGUUUUUUUUUUUUUUUGCUCUUUUUCCUUUCCUUCUCCUCUUGUUCUUUUCUGCCUAUAGAAGUUCCUUUAGUAUUUGUUGUAAGGCUGGUUUAGUGUUGCUGAAUUCUCUCAGCUUGUGCUUAUCUGUGAAGGUUUUGAUUUCUCCUUCAAAUCUGAAGGAGAGCCUUGCUGGGUAAAGUCAUCUUGGUUGGAGGUUUUUUCCUUUCAUCACAUUAAGUAUAUCAUGCCACUCCCUUCUGGCCUGCAGAGUUUCUGUUGAAAAAUCUGCCGAUAACCUUAUCAGGGUUCCCUUGUAUGUUAUUUGUUUCUUUUCCCUAGCUGCUUUCAAGAUUUUCUCUUUGUCUUUAAUUUUGGUCAGUUUGAUUAGUAUGUGUCUCGGGGUGUUCCUCCUUGGGUUAAUUUUAUAUGGUACUCAUUGUGCUUCCUGGAUUUGAGUGAGUGGUUCUUUUCCCAUGUUAGGGAAGUUUUCAGCUAUUAUCUCUUGGAAUAUUUUUUCUGUCUCCUUCUCUCUCUCUUCUCCUUCUGGCACCCCUAUAAUACGGAUAUUGCUGUGUUUAACAUUGUCCCAGAGAUCUCUGAGACUCUCUUCAUUUGUUUUCAAUCUUUUUUCUCUUUUCUGUUCCAUAUCCAUAAUUUCCACUAAUCUGUCCUCCACCUCACUUUUUCGUUUUCCUGCCUCCUGUAUUCUGCUGUUGGUUGCUUCUAGUGAAUUUUUUAUUUCAGUUAUUUUGUUUUGCAUCUCUUCUUGUUUAAGUUUGAUAUCUUGUAUCUCUUUGGUCAGUGUUUCCUGUAAGUUAUCCAUCUUUGCCUCCAGUUGAUUCCCAAUGUCUUGCAUCAUCUUCAGCAUCCAAAGUCUAAAGUCUUUUUCCUGGAGGCUGAGAAUCUCCUUAUGGCUUAGCUGAUUUUCUAGGGUUUUUCCUUUAUCCCUCCUCUAAGUUAUAUUUCUCUGUCUUUUCAUGUUUAUAGGUUUUUGGUGUGGUGACCUUCUUACAGAUAAAAGGGUUGUAGCCUCUCUUACUUCUGGUGUCUGCCCCCCUUGUGGCUGAAGCCAGUAUGGGGGCUUGGUGUAGGCUUCCUGAUAGGAGGGGCUGAUGCCUGCCCCCUGGUAGGAGGAGCCGAUUCUAAUCCCUCUGGUGGCUGUGUGCCUGAGGGGUCUUUAGGUAGCCUGUUUACUGAGGGGUGGGGCUGUGAUCCCACCUGGGUUGUUGUUUGCCCUGGGGCUUCUCAGCAGCUGGCUGACAGGUGGGGCCAGAUUUUCCCAAAAUGGCCACCUCCAGAGAAAGGCACUGCUGCUGAAUAUUCCCGAGAGCUUUGCCUUCAAUGUCC
Molecule: long non-coding RNA, 2522 nt
Filed under: Sus scrofa (pig)
Lineage: Eukaryota; Metazoa; Chordata; Mammalia; Artiodactyla; Suidae
Description: lncRNA (ENSSSCG00030051692.1)
Source: RNAcentral